CCUACGGGUGGCUGCAGUGAGGAAUAUUGGUCAAUGGACGCGAGUCUGAACCAGCCAAGUAGCGUGAAGGAUGACUGCCCUACGGGUUGUAAACUUCUUUUAUAAAGGAAUAAAAGGGGGCACGUGUGCCUUUUUGUAUGUAAUUUAUGAAUAAGGAUCGGCUACCUCAGUCUCAGCAGCAGCGGUAAGACUGAGGCUCCGAGCGUUAUCCGGAUUUAUUGGGUUUAAAGGGAGGGUAGGUGGGUUGUUUAGGCAGUUGUGAAAGUUUGCGGCUCAAACGUAAGAUUGCAAUUGAUACUGGCAGUCUUGAGUACAGGUGGGGUAGGCGGAAUUCGUGGUGUAGCGGUGAAAUGCUUAGAUAUCAGGAAGAACCCCGAUGGCGAAGGCAGCUUACUAAACUGCAACUGACAUUGAGGCUCGAAAGUGUGGGUAUCAAACAGGAUUAGAUACCCUGGUAGUC
Molecule: ribosomal RNA, 460 nt
Filed under: uncultured bacterium
Lineage: Bacteria
Description: partial 16S ribosomal RNA
Rfam family: Bacterial small subunit ribosomal RNA
Source: RNAcentral